GAUGAACGCUAGCUACAGGCUUAACACAUGCAAGUCGAGGGGAAACGAUAGAGAAAGCUUGCUUUUUCUAGGCGUCGACCGGCGCACGGGUGAGUAACGCGUAUCCAACCUGCCCAUCACUUGGGGAUAACCUUGCGAAAGUAAGACUAAUACCCAAUGACGUCUCUAGAAGACAUCUGAAAGAGAUUAAAGAUUUAUCGGUGAUGGAUGGGGAUGCGUCUGAUUAGCUUGUUGGCGGGGUAACGGCCCACCAAGGCGACGAUCAGUAGGGGUUCUGAGAGGAAGGUCCCCCCACAUUGGAACUGAGACACGGUCCAAACUCCUACGGGAGGCAGCAGUGAGGAAUAUUGGUCAAUGGACGAGAGUCUGAACCAGCCAAGUAGCGUGAAGGAUGACUGCCCUAUGGGUUGUAAACUUCUUUUAUACGGGAAUAAAGUGAGCCACGUGUGGCUUUUUGUAUGUACCGUAUGAAUAAGGAUCGGCUAACUCCGUG
This 493-nucleotide ribosomal RNA is filed under the name uncultured bacterium. Its description in RNAcentral is "bacterial SSU rRNA". It matches the Rfam family "Bacterial small subunit ribosomal RNA", at positions 28 to 507 of the family's 1533-position model. The record is from RNAcentral.